RNAcentral lists this long non-coding RNA (8050 nucleotides) under Capsella rubella. Its description in RNAcentral is "long non-coding RNA (CRUB_LNC004464)". The record is from RNAcentral. Lineage: Eukaryota; Viridiplantae; Streptophyta; Magnoliopsida; Brassicales; Brassicaceae.
AAGCACCAUCGAUGGUGGAAGCACAGAAGUUGUGCGAGAGGUCAAGUGGGACAUGGUCCGGAGUUUGUGGAAACAAUAACGCAUGCAAGAAUCAGUGCAUUAACCUUGAGGGAGCAAAACAUGGAUCUUGCAACUAUCGAUUCCCAUACCACAGAUGUAUCUGUUACUUCCCAUGUUAAUCAACCAAACAUCUUUGGUGGUUAAUCACGUGUGUAUUUUACAUAAAAUAAGUCUGUGUUACUCUAUGAGUAACUUUAUGACAUGCAUGUUUAUGUUUUAAUGUUUGGUUGGACUUUGUUGUUAUAAUUCAUGUACCACCUAAGACUGCAUGCAGUUUCUUGUUUGGUUGGACUUUGUUGUUAUAAUUUAUGUACGACCUUUUUAAGACUAUAUUUUCUUGUUCGUAUUUGUCAGCAGCAGCCGUCACCCAACAGGACCACUCAUUUUUAUGUAUCGAAAUCGAAGUCAUAAAACUAAAGAACAUAAAGAAAAAAAAAGACACACGACCGUUAAAGACCGAAUAAGAAUAUGUCAAAAGAAAAAAAAAAUCAUCAUUCAUAGAAAAAAAUUUAUAUUCUAGGACGUUCACGUUAUAUCACCAUAGCCACGUCAAAACCCCAAUUUAAUAGUUUGAUCAGACAAUUAAUAGAGAGGGUUUUAUGACGGUACGUGGCAAGAGUUAGACAUCCAUUAUUUUUUGGAUUAAUAAGAAUUAUAGUACAUUUUCAAAAAAUAAUUGGGAAAAUAGUACAUAUAUUAUUUAUAAUUAUAAAAAUAGUCAUAUGGACCCACAAUAUGAGAUAGAAGAAAACAUGAGAUAGGAAAAACGAGAGAAAAUAAAAUGACAUGAGGGGCAAUUUUUUUUCUCUGGAUUUUGUUUUUUUUUUUCUUUUUUUUUUCUUUUUUUCUCUUACUUUUAUCACCCCAAAAUUUUUAUAACUAACAUACUAAUUUUUGUAAAAAUAAUAUCAAUAAUAUUUUUAACACAUAAAAAUGUUUUUUUCUCUAUAAUUUGAUAUGCCUUUUGCUAAUAAAUUUUAAAUUUUUUUAUAUAUAAAUAUUUAUUUGUAUAGUUUAGCAUAUGUACAAAUGUUUUUUUUACAAUAGUAUGUGUACAGACGUAUGUACAAAAAUAUCCAUACAUAAAUAUGUACAAACAUAUCCGUACAACUUAUUAAGUGUACGAAUAUAUGUAAAAAUUACUCAUUUUUAUCCGUACAGCUAGUAUAGUAUACCAAAAUAUGCAUAUUUAUAUAUAUUUGUACACUAAUAUGCUGUACGGAUGAUAUUGUGUAAUAAUAUUAUUAUUGUACAAAAACAUAAUUUUGUACGUAUGUACAAUAAAUAUGAUGUACGAAUUAUAUUAUAUAAUUAUUUUAAUGGCAGACUCGUAAAUACUAUGUUUUCUGAGUGUUUAAAUGUCCAUAAAAUAGUAGCAAAUAGUGAUAAUGUACUAGUUUCCUAAUUGUAAAUAGUGUUUGUACUAGUUUUAUAAUUAUUUUUUAAAAAUGUAAUACUUCUCCAACACACCCUUAUUUUUUUAAAAUUAUAUUUUAUUGUAGUUUCUAAUAUUGGGUAGAGAUUUUCAUAGUCUCUCAGUUAUAUUAUUUUAAUAGAUAUAUAAUUUACUUUUUACUAUUUAUUUAAAUUUUAAAUAACAAGAAAAGAUUAAAACCGAUCACAUGAUCUCUCGAAAAGUCUCAUUUGAGAAGUGGUUCUCAUAUCUCUUUUCAAUUUUUUGUUUUAUAUUGUUAAAAAAAAUGGGUGAAGCAAUUAAGAACAUAUAAACAAAAUUAUACUCAGACUCAAACGGAGGUGUCUAAAUUGCUAUAGAGAAUACUGGACGAGCUUUUACAUACAGCAGCCAUAUAUCGUUCUUUUACUUACUUCUUUUAUUUUUUGGUAUUCAUAUUUGUUUGUAUUUGGACUAACUUGUGCAUAUCAAACUAACGUAACGCACAAUAUAUAGCAUUUUGCUUAGGUACCCUGAAUUCAAAACUAAAAACAUGAAUCCUAAACUCUAAGAAAGUUACAUCUAAUCUAAAAAAGAGUUCUAAAUACAACAAAAAGAUGUAUUUUCUGAAUUUUAAAAAAUGGAUCGCUUAUAAUAUUUCCGUAAUUCCUUUGUGCUUUUAUUUUCCUUUGUAACGAAUUUACAGAUUAUACCUUAAGCUCUAUAUCCUCUAAUUUUUGAUGAAAUUCACCGUUAUGAUGAUAGUUAGAAAAUCUACCGCCGAUGAGAGCAACGCACUGAUGAAUCACAUAAUUUACGGUUAAAGGUGUCUCCCGGUGAAAUCUAAUGGCAAAAAAACUAAUAAGAACGGUUUCUUUGUUCUGCAAAUUAACUUGGCGGAACGAUGCUACGUACUCUUGAGAUCAACCAAACAAUAUGUUGAUACAUAUACACUUGCCUAACUGUCAAAAUAUCUGACAUGACAUAUAUCAAAGUACUCUUGUAACUACCGCUUGGUUAACAUCUUAUUUUCUUGAGUCUUGACCACAUCAGAUUAUGCCGCCUAUGUAUAAAUCAUUUGCUCAAAGCCAAAGCAGCCUACUUAGAUAUUAUCAGAAAAAAUAUGUGGUGGAGAAUAACCAGCAGCCAUCAACUAUGAAUAAGUCAAGUUCUUAUCUGUUAAUAUUAGCACUAGAAGACGCUUAGUGUUUAAUUUGUGGGGUUACGAUCUGUAGUUAUAGGAUGCACACAUAUACGACUAACUCACCAUCAUUUCAUUAUAAAUAGACUCUGAUCUUAAGCUUAAUUAGUUCAUCACACAACACAUCAAUACAUACAUACAUUGAAAACAACACAGUUUAAUAAUCAUCAUGGCUAAGUUUGCUUCCAUCAUCCCCCUUAUCUUCGCUGCUCUUGUUCUCUUUGCUGCUUUUGGUGAGUAAUCAUCUUUUUUUUUUAAUGGAAUUAUGGAAAUAAUGUUUUAAAUGUUAUUUUGAUAACUAACCAUGAGAAAUAUAUACACGUAUAUGCAGAAGCACCAUCGAUGGUGGAAGCACAGAAGUUGUGCGAGAGGUCAAGUGGGACUUGGUCCGGAGUCUGUGGAAACAAUAACGCAUGCAAGAAUCAGUGCAUUAACCUUGAGGGAGCAAAACAUGGAUCUUGCAACUAUCGAUUCCCAUACCACAGAUGUAUCUGUUACUUCCCAUGUUAAUCAACCAAAAAUCUUUGGUGGCUAAACGUGUGUGUAUUUUACAUAAAAUAAGUCUGUGUUACUCUCUAUGAGUAACUUUAUGACAUGCAUGUUUAUGUUUUAAUGUUUGGUUGGACUUUGUUGUUACAAUUUAUGUACGACGUUAUAAUUAAGACUCUGUUUCUUCUUGUUCGUAUUAGACCAGUAUUAAUUUGAUUACAGCAGCUGACACCCAACAGGACCACUAAUUUUCAUGUAUCGAAAACAUAAAGAACAGAAUUUUAAAAAAAAAACACACGACCGACCGUUACCUGACCGAAUUAGGAUGUGUCAAGAAAAAAAGAAAUUCCCAUUGAUAAAACAAAAUAAAACUUCUAUUCUAGGACGUUCACUUUAUUUCACUAUAGCCAAGUGAAAACCCCAAUUUAAUAGUUUAAUCAGACUACCAAAUUCAUGAAUUGUCGAGUAGUGAAAUGUUAAUUAAUUGAGAUUGUUGAUUUUUAUUUUAUUUUUUUGUCGUACGUAGUUUCUGAUAUUGUAUAGUAAACAAUAAUAGCAAUAAUGAAUAGAAGAAAAAAAUGAUUGGGGGUGUUACAAAUAAGAACAUCUGAAUAUAUAAACAAAAUUAUACUCUUAAGCGGAGGUGUCGGUAACGCUAUAGAAAACGGGACGAGCUUUUCCUUUUACUUCCUUCUUUUACUACGUACUGCUGUUUUUACGUAUUCAAUUUUUUUGUUUUUUUGUCUGUAUUUGGACUAACUUGUUCAUCAAAAUAACGCACAAUAUAUAUAUAGCAUCUUGCUUACGUACCUUGAAUUCAAAAUUAAAAACAUGAACCUUAAACUCUCUAAAUGUAAUCUAAUCUAAGAAUAGUUCGAAACCAUACAAAAAAAAAUACGAUUUUCCUCAAUUUAAAAGAAUUCAAUCAUUAUUUUUAGUUCAAAAACAAAAUUUGAUCGCUUAUAUAAUCUAAUUUCGUAAUUACUUUAUAAACUUUUUUCUUAGUUAGUUGGUAUUUUCAGUUAUUUUGCCAAUUUCUUUGUUAACGAAUUUACGAAUCAUACCUUAAGCUCUAUAUUCACCAAUUUUGUAUGAAAUUCACCGUUACCUUCUUCUGAUAGUUAGAAAAACUACCGCCGGCGAGAGCAGCGUAAUGGAUCACAUAAUUUACGGUUAAAGGUGUUUCCUGGUGUGUUUUAACUUGCGAAAAAUCUAGCGAGAAGAGUUUCUUUUGUUCUGCAAACUUGGCAAAACGAUGUUACUCUAGAGAUCAACCAAAACAUAUCUUGAUAUACACUUUUGGUUCAAAGGAGCAGUUCCAAAACAUGCAUUUAUGAUAUGGUUUACACAUCUAAUUAUCGGCUUCCCACUAAAACAAGGCUCAAAAGUCUGGGACUGCAAAUUGAGCAAACUAGUUGCUGCCUUUGUGGUUUGUUCCCUGAAACUUGAGAGUUGAGACCAUAUGUUCCCUUCAUUGUGAAGUUAGCGAUGGCCUCUUGUCAAAACCACCAACAAAGAUUUGGAUACAACUCGUUUAUUUUCCACACUUGGAGUGCGUUCUCAGCUUGGUUAGACUUUAAAGACUCAACAUCACCUCUUUUUUUUUUGGCAGGAAACAAUUAAUCUUUUGUAACUUUUACAAACUUUUUCAUCUAAUGAAAAUUCACAUUUCUGUUAAAGGAAAAAAAAAAACUGUGAAAAUAUCUGACACAUCAAAAUAAUCGUGUAAAUUAACUACCGCUUGGUUAUAUUACGAUCUUAUUUUCUUGAGUCUUGACCACAUCAGAUUAAGCAGCCGCCUAUGUAAACGAUGUAUGAUUAGCUCAAAACCAAAGCAGCCACCAAGAUAUUAUUAUUAGAGAAAAAUAUGUGGUGGAGAAUAACCAGCCAUCAACUAUGAAAAAGUCAAGUUUUUAUCAUGCUAAUACCAAUCAGCUGCUAGAAGACACUUAGUGUUUAAUUUGUGGGGUUACGAAACGUGAUUAUACGAUGCCCAAAUAGAUCGACUAAUUAACUCACCAUCGUUUCACUAUAAAUAGAAGUUGAUCUUUAGCUUAUUUCAUCACACAACACAUACAUACACAUACAUUGAAAACAAGAUAGUAAAAAUCAACAUGGCUAAGUUUGCUUCCAUUAUCACCCUUCUCUUCGCUGCUCUUGUUCUCUUUGCUGCUUUUGGUGAGUAAUCAUCUUAUCAUAUCAAUGAAAAUGUGUGUUUAAAUGUUAUUUUCAUUUAUUUGGAUAACUAACCAUGAGAAAUAUAUGCAUGCAUGAUGCAUCUGUAGAAGCACCGGCAAUGGUAAACGCACAGAAGUUGUGCGAGAGGUCAAGUGGGACUUGGUCCGGAGUCUGCGGAAACAACAACGCUUGCAAGAAUCAGUGCAUUAACCUUGAGGGAGCAAAACAUGGAUCUUGCAAUUAUCGAUUCCCAUACCACAGAUGUAUCUGUUACUUCCCAUGUUAAUCAACCAAACAUCUUCGGUGGUUAAACGUGUGUGCAUUUUACAUAAAAUAAGUCUACGUCACUUUACGAGUGACUCUUAUGAGUAUGACAUGCAUCUUUCUGUUUUAAUGUUCGGUGGUGUGACUUUGUUGUUAUGAUAAUAUAAUAUUUUUCUUCUUGUUUAAUUUGUCUUCAACACGGUCAGUAAUGAAAUAUACAUGUAAUCCAACUCGACCCCUUGUAUUGAAAAAAAAAAAAAACUUGUGUGUAAAUGAAAAUGAUCCACGACAAACUAUGAAUUGUCCAAUUACAUGACCGAAUUAAAAUAUAUUGUAGCUAGGAAGUUCACGUUAAAUCCCAAUUAUAUUGGUCUACCAAAUUCACGUUGCAGAAAUGAAAUAUUACUUACGAGUAAAAAUUACGAUAAACAAAAAAUGAUUUUGAACUUAGAAGCUUUUGUUUCAAACAAAAGGUUUCGCUUUCAGGUCUUGAUCUAGAUCUUGUGUCCAAUUAAUAAUUUAAAUUUAUGUUUGGGAUCGGUUACAGUUACAAUCUUGGUUGAGUUUAAUUUUAUUUAAAACUUGACUUAUAUAUUUAUUAGCAGAAACACCAACAAUGGUGGAAGAACGUACACAAGUUGUGAAGUUACGUUGUGCGAGUUGGACAGUCAUAGAAACAAUAAUGCAACAAAAAUAAGUGCAUUAUAGCCUUGAAAACGUACAACAUGGAAGACUAGGCCCGGCGUAAAGGGGGUGCGGGAGCACCGGGACUCUUCAGUUUUGGUAAUUUUUUAAAGGUUUUAGGACCCUCAAUUUUUGAUAUUUUUACAUACAAGGGCCUCAAAUUUCUGAAAUUUGCAAAUAAAACCCUAACUAAAAGAAGAAAUUUUUUUGGCACAAGGUCCAAGAAAAACUUGAGCCGGGCCCUCCAUGGAACUUGCAAGUUGCAACUAUGUCCCCAGCUCACAAAUGAUCUGCUACUUCCCAUAUUAAGUUAUCUAUAUGGUCAUGUGUCUGUAUUUCCAAUUUUCCAUAAACUAAUAAGUCAUAUGUUCUGCUCAAAAAUCUACAUGUGUCUGUCACUCAAUGAAUGAGCGUAUUACAUGUAUCCAUUAUGUUUAUGUUGGCUUGUUUUAAUUGGAUUUUACUACAUACUACUGUUUCCUUAUCCAUAUUUGUUUUUCUGAUUAGUGCACUUUCCCUAACUGUGGACAGAGAUUCACCGAGGCCUGAGACAACCAUUUCCAGCAUCAUCAGGUCGAUUAAGAAGAACAAUUAAUUAACUUUGUUUUGAAAUGACCAGCUGCCAUAGUUGAAGUUGAUUAAGAUUUUUUAAGUUAUGCGGUUAAAUGAACUAAUAAUGUUAUACAAUUAAUCACUUCUUAGGAAGUUAGGGGGUGGGAAGGGGUAUUGGAAGACGGAUUUAAGAAGAUUUUGGGUUUUUCUUAACCAGCUCAGAAGAUUCCCCAUAUUAUAAACCGGUGACAAUGACAUACUAUUAUUGGAUUGAGGAUAUUUCUUGCGAUUCAAGCAAAUGACCAAUUAUUGUAUCAUUGAUCCCAUUUUCUCCUAGCUCUAUGCUCAUGUAACGAACGGUCUGCAAAAAUUUCCGACAAAUCAUAACUACUUGUGUAACUCGGCUUGGUUAAAAAAUGUAAAAUCUUAUUUUCUUGAGUGGUGACCAAAUCAGAUUAACCAGCGCUACCAAACUGAACAAUGAAUAUGUAGCAUUAACUCAAAUCCAAAGCAACCAGUUUAGAUAUUAUCAGAGAAAGAUAUGUGGUGGAGAAACCAGCCAUCAAUUAUGAAUAAGUCAAGAUCUUAUUACUACAACUAGCUAUACUAGAAGACACUGCGAGAUUAAUUUGUGGGGUUGCGAUCCGUAAUUAUACGAUGCAAAAAUAGAAGACUAACUCACCACUAUUUCAUUAUAAAUAGAGGCUGAUCUUAAGCUUAUUUUAUCACACAGCACAAUACAUAUAUACAUCGAAAACAAAGUAGUAAAAAUCAUCAUGGCUAAGUCUGCUUCCAUCAUCACCCUUAUCUUCGCUGCUCUUGUUCUCUUUGCUGCUUUUGGUUAGUAAUGAUCUUAUCAUAUAUGCAAAAUAGUGUUUUAAAUGUUAUUUUCAUUUAUUUUGAUAACUAACCAUGAUAAGUAUAUACAUGAAUCUGCAGAAGCACCAGCAAUGGUGGAAGCACAGAAGUUUUGCGAGAGGUCAAGUGGGACUUGGUCCGGAGUCUGUGGAAACAACGGCGCUUGCAGGAAUCAGUGCAUUAACCUUGAAAGAGCACACCAUGGAUCUUGCAACUAUCGAUUCCCAUACCACAGAUGUAUCUGUUAUUUCCCAUGUUAAUCAACCAAACAUCUUUGGUUGUUAAACGUGUGUGUAUUUUACAUAAAAUAAGUCUCGGUUACUCUAUGAGUGACUUUUAUGACAUGCAUGUUUAUGUUUUAAUGUUUGGUG